Molecule: ribosomal RNA, 107 nt
Filed under: Acanthosepion pharaonis
Lineage: Eukaryota; Metazoa; Mollusca; Cephalopoda; Sepiida; Sepiidae
Source: RNAcentral
UUACGGCCAUAUCACGCUGAAAUAGCGGUUCCCGUACGAUCACCGAAGUUACGCAACGUUGUGCCUGGUCAGUACCUAGACGAGUGACCGUUUGGGAAUACCAGAUG